This is a long non-coding RNA of Pyrus x bretschneideri (Chinese white pear), 1032 nucleotides long. RefSeq lists it as uncharacterized. The transcript is spliced from 3 exons. NCBI's taxonomy places the organism in Eukaryota, Viridiplantae, Streptophyta, Magnoliopsida, Rosales, Rosaceae. The record is from RefSeq and is a predicted model, not a curated record.
AGCAAAAGAGAAGGCCAUGUUAUGCCCAUCGUCACAUAUAGUAUUAAAAUAAAAAAUAAAAAUAUACCGAAGAAAUAAUAUCAAAACCCCAAAUUGUAAAACCUAUUUCACUCAGUUCUCACCCAUUCCGGUUGUCUUCAGCUCCCCUUUGCUUACUCUUUCACCCCAACUCCGACGACCAACCACUGGUGGUUGCCAGCGACUGCAACAACCACUCUCCUUCGUCUUCCUUUCUCGGUUGCUCUCUCAGUAUCAUCUGCUGCUCGUUCUCUAACUCUCUCCUCUCUCUGACAUAGCAAGACCCAAAUUAGGGAAAGAGAGAUUCGGUUUUCUAUCGAGUUCUUCAGGUGACAAUAAGGUACUUGCCUCUAGCAGCCCUCUGCUUGUACAUCCGCACUCUGCAGCCUUUAAUUUGGGAUGUUUUCAAGCAAAAUUUAUAUAAUCGUAAGAAAUAAAAGUAUUACCACAAGGGAGGGGCAAAACCAUUUCAUCCAACAUGCAAGGAAUGCUCACAAGGUAAUGAAAUUAAAGUACAUAUAAAACUCAUUGUGUAAUUUAGAUAGGCUCGUCUGUUAUGUUUUGUUCUUCUUACUGUAACUAUUUCUUCAAUUCUUAUUUUCUUUUCUUUUGUUGUUAUUCAAAUCUCAAUGCACCUGCUAUUCUCUAGACACCAAUGUUUAUUUUUUUUCUCUUUUAUUAUGUAAGGAUAAGAUGAAGAAAAAGAAGGAUGGUAUUAAAGAAGAAAGUAUUAAAGAAGCACCUGAGAUAGUGAUGGUGAUCUUUCAAAUGACAAUGAUACUUGUGUUGAAGUAAAGACUAUGAUAUGGCUAAUGACUUAUAUUAUGUAUUUUGUUGUUGGUUUCAAACAUGCACACGGUAUACUUGUUUUGUUACCAACUCAAUGCCUUAGAAUCUUGUUAGCAUCUCAAUAUGUUUAGAGGUGUUAGGAUGCUUAUAGCUUUUGGGAUAUACACUUAGUGUAUAUAUUGGAUGUAGCCUAACUUAUUGAUCAAUGAAAUGUGAUUAACCAAA